UACGAAGGGGGCUAGCGUUGCUCGGAAUCACUGGGCGUAAAGCGCACGUAGGCGGAUUGCUAAGUCAGGGGUGAAAUCCUGGAGCUCAACUCCAGAACUGCCUUUGAUACUGGCGGUCUCGAGUCCGGGAGAGGUGAGUGGAACUGCGGGUGUAGAGGUGAAAUUCGUAGAUAUUCGCAAGAACACCAGUGGCGAAGGCGGCUCACUGGCCCGGUACUGACGCUGAGGUGCGAAAGCGUGGGGAGCAAACAGG
Molecule: ribosomal RNA, 253 nt
Filed under: uncultured bacterium
Lineage: Bacteria
Description: partial 16S ribosomal RNA
Rfam family: Bacterial small subunit ribosomal RNA
Source: RNAcentral